CUAAGUUUAUUCCACACAAUGCCUUCUCUGUUCAAAGAGGCAAAAACAUCUCCAAGCUGGAGAAAUGACAAACACAGUCACUGAGUCAUUUUUAUACUACGUCCAAAUCCAGAACCCAUCUGACUCUCUCGGUCGCAUUUAAAGCUACAUCGACAACCUAUUUUUUCCCCCUUAGACUAUUACUUUCCAGCGAGAAAAACGGCUCAGAAACACAUGGGAUGCAGCUCAAGUCUGCUUCUGUCCCCCUCCGAGCUCCAUGCACUUGGCCCUACUCUCCCCUGCAGACAGACGAUUGUCAUUGGUUUUCAUGCCUGUGCCUCUCUCUCCAACAGCACAGAACCGCAGACAGCAACAUCAGCCGGCCCAGCCCCAGAGUCCAACUCAACCAUGCUAGAACGGUGGACCCAAGAGGUCCUGAAAGCAGGGCCCAUGUUCUUCUGCUAAUGCAAUGACAGAGCUCAACGGGCCACAGGACAGGUACCAACUAUGGAUCGUUUGACAACACUUCAGUAAAGCACAAACUGGAGGGACAAAUCUGUUUAAGAACCUGACCCCCAAAAGCCAGGCAGGAGGAGAAGAUCUUAUCUCCUUGAGAAAUAAUCAGGAAGUAUCAGCUACACAUCUGGUGACUUUACUAGCUCCAAACCAAGUGACCCAACUUUGAGCAAGAUCUCUGGACUCAGUCUACAUCUUUUCAUCUAGCAAUUAUUGUAUGCUACUAUUUAUUCUUUAUAAUGCAUUAAUGCCCCUCCUACCCAAGUCAACUGAAAGUCAUCUGCAGUGUGUCAUCGAUCCAGGAUCCAUGAGGAUGCAUAUUCGAGUCUCCCUAUAAAGGGCCCCAUACUUCUGCUCGAUGACAGUUUAAUGUUUGCCCGUGACGCAGUGACCUGGAGUCACGUUUCUUCCUUUGUGGAUGACUGACUGCUUUCUGGUAGAGCCGAGUCUAACCUGAGACAGAUUUAAGACUUCCAAGCACACGUGCCGUGUUCCAUCUCAUCUGUAAUGCCAUCGGAGUUUUCUGUCACCAUAGUUUCAUCGCAACAUCUCUUAUUGUAGGGGAAGAAAACAGUGUAUGGACACUUAACAGUAUCUGACACUUGAGAAGUUGUCAGCAACCAAAGGCGAACGCUACCGAAGCAGCGGCAUCCAUCCGGUUUCCGACCCUUCUUUGGGCAGUGUGCAAGAUGAGCCAGUUUUGGACCUUGCUGUCAGACAUGUGGCAGUCUUAGCUCCUGUCCUUCUUACCUGCUUCGACUUUCUGGACCUGAGUUUUUCUCUUCCAUAUAAUUAAGAUAAUACUAAUCAUCUAAUGGAGUUCCUGUGGGAGUGAAUAGUGAUUGUGAAAAAUAAGUGUCUGGAACAUCCGAAGUACUAGUAGGUUGGACAUGA
Long non-coding RNA from Peromyscus californicus insignis, 1389 nucleotides. RefSeq lists it as uncharacterized. The transcript is spliced from 3 exons. The record is from RefSeq and is a predicted model, not a curated record. NCBI's taxonomy places the organism in Eukaryota, Metazoa, Chordata, Mammalia, Rodentia, Cricetidae.